AUGGGCACUCCAACACUCAGACAUGAGAGGGAGACUGUGUGUGGGGGAGGGAGACUGUGUGUGGGGGACUGUGUGUGGGAGAGGGAGACUGUGUGUGGGGGAGGGAGACUGUGUGUGGGGGAGGGAGACUGUGUGUGGGAGAGGGAGACUGUGUGUGGGAGAGGGAGACUGUGUGUGGGGGAGGGAGACUGUGUGUGGGAGAGGGAGACUGUGUGUGGGAGAGGGAGACUGUGUGUGGGGGAGGGAGACUGUGUGUGGGGGACUGUGUGUGGGAGAGGGAGACUGUGUGUGGGGGAGGGAGACUGUGUGUGGGGGAGGGAGACUGUGUGUGGGAGAGGGAGACUGUGUGUGGGGGAGGGAGACUGUGUGUGGGGGAGGGAGACUGUGUGUGGGGGAGGGAGACUGUGUGUGGGGGAGGGAGACUGUGUGUGGGGGACUGUGUGUGGGAGAGGGAGACUGUGUGUGGGGGACUGUGUGUGGGAGAGGGAGACUGUGUGUGGGGGACUGUGUGGGAGAGGGAGACUGUGUGUGGGGGACUGUGUGUGGGAGAGGGAGACUGUGUGUGGGGGACUGUGUGUGGGAGAGGGAGACUGUGUGUGGGAGAGGGAGACUGUGUGUGGGAGAGGGAGACUGUGUGUGGGAGAGGGAGACUGUGUGUGGGAGAGGGAGACUGUGUGUGGGAGAGGGAGACUGUGUGUGGGAGAGGGAGACUGUGUGUGGGGAGGGAGACUGUGUGUGGGGGAGGGAGACUGUGUGUGGGGGAGGGAGACUGUGUGUGGGGGAGGGAGACUGUGUGUGGGGGAGGGAGACUGUGUGUGGGGGAGGGAGACUGUGUGUGUGGGAGAGGGAGACUGUGUGUGGGGGAGGGAGACUGUGUGUGGGGGAGGGAGACUGUGUGUGGGGGAGGGAGACUGUGUGUGGGGGAGGGAGACUGUGUGUGGGGGAGGGAGACUGUGUGUGGGGGAGGGAGACUGUGUGUGUGGGGGAGGGAGACUGUGUGUGUGGGAGAGGGAGACUGUGUGGUGGGGGAGGGAGACUGUGUGUGGGGGAGGGAGACUGUGUGUGGGAGAGGGAGACUGUGUGGGAGAGGGAGACUGUGUGGGGGAGGGAGACUGUGUGUGGGGGAGGGAGACUGUGUGGGAGACUGUGGGGGAGGGAGACUGU
This 1164-nucleotide long non-coding RNA is filed under the name Oncorhynchus kisutch (coho salmon). Its description in RNAcentral is "lncRNA (ENSOKIG00005031958.1)". Lineage: Eukaryota; Metazoa; Chordata; Actinopteri; Salmoniformes; Salmonidae. The record is from RNAcentral.